RNAcentral lists this ribosomal RNA (545 nucleotides) under uncultured bacterium. RNAcentral's name for it is "bacterial SSU rRNA". It matches the Rfam family "Bacterial small subunit ribosomal RNA", at positions 355 to 896 of the family's 1533-position model. The record is from RNAcentral.
UGGGGAAUAUUGCACAAUGGGCGCAAGCCUGAUGCAGCGACGCCGCGUGAGGGAUGAAGGCCUUCGGGUUGUAAACCUCUUUCGUCAGGGAACAAGGCACUGCUUUUGGUGGUGUUGAGGGUACCUGGAUAAGAAGCGCCGGCUAACUACGUGCCAGCAGCCGCGGUAAUACGUAGGGCGCAAGCGUUGUCCGGAAUUAUUGGGCGUAAAGAGCUCGUAGGCGGCUGGUCGCGUCUGUCGUGAAAACUUCCGGCUCAACCGGGGGCUUGCGGUGGGUACGGGCCGGCUAGAGUGCGGUAGGGGUAACUGGAACUCCUGGUGUAGCGGUGGAAUGCGCAGAUAUCAGGAAGAACACCGAUGGCGAAGGCAGGUUACUGGGCCGUUACUGACGCUGAGGAGCGAAAGCGUGGGGAGCGAACAGGAUUAGAUACCCUGGUAGUCCACGCCGUAAACGUUGGGCACUAGGUGUGAGGCUCCUUUCCGGGGGUUUUGCGCCGUAGCUAACGCAUUAAGUGCCCCGCCUGGGGAGUACGGCCGCAAGGCUA